GUUUCCAUAGUGCAGUGGUUAUCAUGUUUGCCUAACACGCGAGAGGUCCCUGGUUCGAAAACGGGUGGAAACA
Molecule: non-coding RNA, 73 nt
Organism: Cricetulus griseus (Chinese hamster)
Lineage: Eukaryota; Metazoa; Chordata; Mammalia; Rodentia; Cricetidae
Source: the annotation of a RefSeq genome assembly